Molecule: ribosomal RNA, 1500 nt
Filed under: Sphaerichthys acrostoma
Lineage: Eukaryota; Metazoa; Chordata; Actinopteri; Anabantiformes; Osphronemidae
Description: partial 16S ribosomal RNA
Rfam family: Bacterial large subunit ribosomal RNA
Source: RNAcentral
CACCCAAUAGCUAGCCUAAAACCUAAACACAAUAAGCCCUUAUAAAUACCCCCAAAUACACAAACUUUCAACUAAACAAACCAUUUUUCCCCCUUAGUAUCGGCGACAGAAAAGGACCAAAAAGCAAUAGAUAAAGUACCGCAAGGGAAUGCUGAAAAAGAAAUGAAACAAACCAGUAAAGUCAUAUAAAGCAGAGACUAAGCCUCGUACCUUUUGCAUCAUGAGUUAGCCAGCAGCCCCAAGCAAAGAGCCCUUUAGUUUGACACCCCGAAACUAAGUGAGCUACUCCAAGACAGCCUAUUAAUAGGGCCAACCCGUCUCUGUGGCAAAAGAGUGGGAAGAGCUUUGAGUAGAGGUGACAGACCUACCGAACUUAGUUAUAGCUGGUUGCUUGAGAACUGAAUAAAAGUUCAGCCUCUUGGCUUCUCUGCUCCCCCUACCUUAGUUAGAUUGACUUAAAGAAGCCCAGAGAGUUAGUUAAAAGAGGUACAGCUCUUUUAAAAAAAACACAACUUUUCAAGGUGGGCAUAGAUCAUAUUAAAACAAGGCCAAGUGUUUUAGUGGGCCUAAAAGCAGCCAUCUAAAAGAAAGCGUUAAAGCUCAGUCACUAUUAAUUGCCCCCAAUUCCCGAUAAUCCAUCUAAUCCCCCUAAACCUAUCAGGCCAUCCCAUGCCUACAUGGGAGAGACCAUGCUAACAUGAGUAAUAAGGGGACAUUGCCCCCCUCCUUGCACACGUAUAAAUCGGAACGAACCCCCACCGAAAAUUAUCGGCCCCAAACAAAGAGGGCAUUGAGCAACAAAUCAAGCAACUAGAAAACCGCUCAUCAAUCAUACCGUUAAUCCCACACCGGUGUGCUAACAAGGAAAGACUAAAAGAAAAAGAAGGAACUCGGCAUAUACAAGCCUCGCCUGUUUACCAAAAACAUCGCCUCUUGCAAAAUUAAAGAAUAAGAGGUCCCGCCUGCCCUGUGACAAUAGUUUAACGGCCGCGGUAUUUUGACCGUGCAAAGGUAGCGCAAUCACUUGUCUUUUAAAUGAAGACCUGUAUGAAUGGCACGACGAGGGCUUAACUGUCUCCUUUUUCAAGUCAAUGAAAUUGAUCCCCCCGUGCAGAAGCGGGGAUAAUUACAUAAGACGAGAAGACCCUAUGAAGCUUUAGACACCAAAGCAGUUCACGUUAAACACCCCUAAAUAUAGGAUCAAACUAAAUAGAGCCCUGCCCUAAUGUCUUUGGUUGGGGCGACCACGGGGAAAAAAAUAACCCCCAUGCGGAAUGAGAGAACUUCUCUCACAACCAAGAGCCACAGCUCUAGUCAACAGAAUGUCUGACCACCAGAUCCGGCAAUGCCGAUCAACGGACCGAGUUACUCUAGGGAUAACAGCGCAAUCCCCUUUAAGAGCCCAUAUCGACAAGGGGGUUUACGACCUCGAUGUUGGAUCAGGACAUCCUAAUGGUGCAGCCGCUAUUAAGGGUUCGUUUGUUCAACGAUUAAAGUCCU